GAUGAAGAACGCAGCAAAAUGCGAUAAGUAAUGUGAAUUGCAGAAUUCAGUGAAUCAUCGAAUCUUUGAACGCACAUUGCGCCCGCCAGUAUUCUGGCGGGCAUGCCUGUUCGAGCGUCAUUACGCCCCUCAAGUCCCCUGUGGACUUGGUGUUGGGGAUCGGCGAGGCUGGUUUUCCAGCACAGCCGUCCCUUAAAUUAAUUGGCGGUCUCGCCGUGGCCCUCCUCUGCGCAGUAGUAAAACACUCGCAACAGGAGCCCGGCGCGGUCCACUGCCGUAAAACCCCCCAACUUUUUAUAGUUGACCUCGAAUCAGGUAGGACUACCCGCUGAACUUAAGCAUAUCAAUAAGCGGAGGA
Molecule: unclassified non-coding RNA, 358 nt
Filed under: soil metagenome
Description: partial contains 5.8S ribosomal RNA, internal transcribed spacer 2, and large subunit ribosomal RNA
Rfam family: 5.8S ribosomal RNA (bases 1-120)
Source: RNAcentral